Molecule: ribosomal RNA, 1615 nt
Filed under: metagenome
Description: bacterial LSU rRNA
Rfam family: Bacterial large subunit ribosomal RNA
Source: RNAcentral
CAUGUUCGCCGAAAGCCUAAGGUUUUCUGGGCAAUGUUAAUCAACUCAGAGUUAGUCGGCCCCUAAGGCGAGGCCGUAAGGCGUAGUCGAUGGGAAGCAGGUUCAUAUUCCUGCACCUCCUGGUGGAGGUUAUCGUGAUGGAGUGACGUAGAAAGAUAUGGGCGCAGGGCGUUGGUUGUCCCUGUUCUUAAGCGUAGGCGUGGGGUCCAGGAAAAUCCGGGCCCCUUUAGCUGAGGCGGUAGGGGAGUGAGCCCUCGGGCAAGCGAAGGUCCAGAAUCUAAGCUACCAAGAAAAACUUCUAAACGCGAAACCGGGAGACCGUACCACAAACCGACACAGGUGGGCGUGGAGAGAAUCCUAAGGCGCUCGUGAGAACCCUCGUUAAGGAACUCGGCAAAAUGGUCCCGUAACUUCGGAAGAAGGGACGCCUCAUUAGUGUGAAACCCCUGCGGGUUGAGCAUGAAGAGGCCGCAGAGAAACGGAUCAAGCGACUGUUUACCAAAAACACAGGACUCUGCUAAAUCGUAAGAUGAUGUAUAGGGUCUGACACCUGCCCGGUGCCGGAAGGUUAAGAGGAGGGGUUAGCCGCAAGGCGAAGCUCUGAAUUGAAGCCCCGGUAAACGGCGGCCGUAACUAUGACGGUCCUAAGGUAUCGAAAUUCCUUGUCGGGUAAGUUCCGACCUGCACGAAUGGUGUAACGAUUUGAUCACUGUCUCAACGAGGGGCUCGGCGAAAUUGUAAUGUUCGUGAAGAUGCGGACUACCUGCAGAAGGACGGAAAGACCCCGUGAACCUUUACUGUAGCCUGACACUGUAAUUUGGUGCAAUAUGUGUAGGAUAGGUGGGAGACUUUGAAGCCGGGACGCUAGUUUCGGUGGAGUCAACCUUGAAAUACCACCCUUAUUGUAUUGGGUUACUAACCGGCUCCCAUUAUCUGGGGCUGGAACACUGUCUGGUGGGCAGUUUGACUGGGGCGGUCGCCUCCUAAAUUGUAACGGAGGCGCUCAAAGGUUACCUCAGCACGGACGGAAAUCGUGCGUAGAGUGCAAACGCAUAAGGUAGCUUGACUGUGAGACCUACAAGUCGAGCAGGUACGAAAGUAGGAGUUAGUGAUCCGGUGGUCCCGUGUGGAAGGGCCAUCGCUCAACGGAUAAAAGGUACUCCGGGGAUAACAGGCUUAUAGCGCCCAAGAGUUCAUAUCGACGGCGCUGUUUGGCACCUCGAUGUCGGCUCUUCGCAUCCUGGGGCUGGAGAAGGUCCCAAGGGUUCGGCUGUUCGCCGAUUAAAGCGGAACGCGAGGGGUUCAGAACGUCGUGAGACAGUUCGGUCCCUAUCCUCUGCAGGCGUUGGAAAUUUGAGGAGAUCUGUCCCUAGUACGAGAGGACCGGGAUGGACGAACCUCUGGUGUACCAGCUGUCGUGCCAACGGCACCGCUGGGUAGCUAUGUUCGGAAUGGAUAACCGCUGAAAGCAUCUAAGCGGGAAGCCAACUCCAAGAUGAGAUUUCCCUUGGCCUUCGGGCCACUGAAGACUCCUUGAAGACUACAAGGUUGAUAGGCUGGAGGUGUAAGCGCAGUAAUGUGUUCAGCCGACCAGUACUAAUCAGUCGUGAGGCUU